Long non-coding RNA from Branchiostoma belcheri (Belcher's lancelet), 2627 nucleotides. RefSeq lists it as uncharacterized. The record is from RefSeq and is a predicted model, not a curated record. The transcript has 2 exons. NCBI's taxonomy places the organism in Eukaryota, Metazoa, Chordata, Leptocardii, Amphioxiformes, Branchiostomatidae.
GUUCCAGACAAGCACACAGCUAACGUUUGUUAUGUUUUGCUGUUCCAGACAAGCAUACAGCUAACGUUUGUUAUGUUUUGCUGUUCCAGACAAGCAUACAGCUAACGUUUGUUAAUGUUUUGCUGUUCCAGACAAGCACAUGCACAACAUGAGCAGCAGCAGAAAGGAGCGCCCAAACCAGCCAACUAGCCGCACCGCUUCCAGGCCUGAAACAUCCCGACAGAAAACAGCUUUGCUCCAGGAAAGCUGCAACAGCGUACUUUUGCCUCUUCAUGCUGCAAGUGUGGAGUAUCCGUGUCGCACCAAGUAGACUUAAGAUGCUUAAAGACAUCAUACCUCUGUCAAUACUCCAUAAGAUUCUGUGUAUUAUAUAUAAUUGGGAAGCUAAUUUAUUUGUGGCUUAUGAUUUUGUAAGAGGUUGAGCACCAAAGCAACUUUUUGAGGAGGUGGUAAAAAAAAGUGAAAAUCUUAUUAUUGAUAUGUCUGUUGUUUUCAAUGAUUAGCACAAUGUGUUCUAUCAUUGGAAAGCUUGAAUGUAUAUUUCCAAUUAGAAUGAUACUGCAUUUAUUAUAAUCAAGGAUACAUAAUGUUGAUAACGUAAUAACAGAGGUAUGAUUGAUCAAAUUCAAUUUCUUAACUUUUGUGCUAAAAUUGGCCUAACAACACAGCCCUACAAGGUUGUACCAAAUAUGUCCUGUACAGCCACACAGCCCUACAAGGUUGUACCAAAUAUGUGCUGUACAGCCACACAGCCCUGCAAGUUUGUACCAAAUGUGUGCUGUACAGCCACACAGUCCUACAAGGUUGUACCAAAUGUGUCCUGUACAGCCACACAGCCCUACAAGGUUGUACCAAAUAUGUGCUGUACAGCCACACAGCCCUACAAGGUUGUACCAAAUGUGUCCUGUACAGCCACACAGCCCAACUCACACCGCUCAUCCAUUACUGAUUUAAACUCAAUCAUAGAGCUCAGACCUGUGGGAUCCAAACCCACACAGCUCAUUCAAUUCGUGUCUUAGUAGUUUUCCAAAGCAAGUGGAACAAUAAAAUAGCAGAAAAAGAGCAGCAGGUUGUAAGAGCAGGUCUUGUGUAGCCGUCUGCUGUUCUCUUGUGCAAAUCUCGUAUCGUGUGUCUCGGCAAUACAGCAGACCCAGAAUGCACCACUGAUUGACAGUACAGCAGACCCAGAAUGCAACACUGAUUGACAGUACGGCAGACCCAGAAUGCAACACUGAUUGACAGUACGGCAGACCCAGAAUGCACCAUUGAUUGACAGUACGGCAGACCCAGAAUGCACCACUGAUUUACAGUGCAGCAGACCCAGAAUGCACCACUGACUGUGCAGCAGACCCAGAAUGCACCACUGAUUGACAGUGCAGCAGACCCAGAAUGCACCACUGACUGUGCAGCAGACAAGCUUGUAAUGGAAACCUUUUCGUCAAGGACUAAUCAUCAUCACGCUAUGACAGAGCAUCAUGGGACUGCUGCAUAGCAUCAUGGGACUCCUGCUUAGCAUGACAGGACCGCUGCAAAGCAUGAUGGGACUCCUGCAAAGCAUGAUGGGACUGCUAGCUUUAGUUCUGCCCUAGUAUAGUGAUGGGAGAAUGCAUGUCAGAAGGAGAAAGGUAAUCUUACAUGCAUGUAACCGCUGUCUGUGGCAAUCUUGCAUGCAUGUAACCGCUGUCUGUGGCAAUCUUACAUGCAUGUAACCGCUGUCUGUGGCAAUCUUACAUGCAUGUAACCGCUGUCUGUGGCAAUCUUACAUGCAUGUAACCGCUGUCUGUGGCAAUCUUACAUGCAUGUAACCGCUGUCUGUGGCAAUCUUACAUGCAUGUAACCACUGUCUGUGAGCCACAAUCUUCACAUUUAGUCCAAAGGAAAAUUGUACAUGCAGACUGGGGCUGUGCGUGUUAAAUGUUUGCAGAUCCGGACAGUAUGAAGUGUUGUGAACUGUUUAAGGUAAAAUUAUUUUCACAUCAAGUUGAUGUGGCAUUUGUGCAGGGAGUGGAUGUGAUACAACAUGCUGGAUUUCAUGGGCUACUCUGCAAAUAAUAUUAAAUGUCUCGUAGAUUGACCUGUAUAUGAAAUGACAAUUGAUGCUGCCAAUGUAUGAUACUAGUAUUGAUGCAAACAUGUUAUAUUUGGGCCGUUAAAAUUAUGGGAGGUGGAAGAGUGUCAUAAUCUGUGGAGGGAAGCUAGGUUUAGUGUAAGGUGGCCAAAAUGUGACCAAUAUCCUGAUAUUGCCUGGCCUAUGGAGAAUUGGUGAAUUGUGGCAUCGCAGAAAUAUAAAAACACAUGUAUCAUUUUCAUGUCUUUGUUAUAAUCAUGAUUAAUGUUGAUGUUUUUGGUGUGUUGCCAUGGCAAUGCCCCAAUCUAGACUGCUAAUUGUCUGCAACCAAUCAGAGUCAAGCAUUGAUCGUGGCAACCAAUCAGAGUCAAGCACUGAUUGCGACUGUUCUCUGUACUUGACCAGUUCUAAUCACCAUCCCUGUUCUUGUAGUUUGUUUUGGUCAGGAAUUUUCUAGUUGUACAAGCCCAACAAUGUUCUGUAAUUUUAAUUCAGCAGUUUAGUUAGAAUUAACCGUUACACUCUUCCUUUUUAAAAUAAAGAUGUACUUUUAUUGAAA